RNAcentral lists this ribosomal RNA (429 nucleotides) under Pseudomonadota bacterium. RNAcentral's name for it is "Proteobacteria bacterium partial 16S ribosomal RNA". It matches the Rfam family "Bacterial small subunit ribosomal RNA", at positions 355 to 776 of the family's 1533-position model. Lineage: Bacteria; Pseudomonadati; Pseudomonadota. The record is from RNAcentral.
UGGGGAAUAUUGGACAAUGGGCGAAAGCCUGAUCCAGCCAUGCCGCGUGUGUGAAGAAGGUCUUCGGAUUGUAAAGCACUUUAAGUUGGGAGGAAGGGCAGUAAGCGAAUACCUUGCUGUUUUGACGUUACCGACAGAAUAAGCACCGGCUAACUCUGUGCCAGCAGCCGCGGUAAUACAGAGGGUGCAAGCGUUAAUCGGAAUUACUGGGCGUAAAGCGCGCGUAGGUGGUUCGUUAAGUUGAAUGUGAAAGCCCCGGGCUCAACCUUGCAACUGCACCCAAAACUGGCGAGCUAGAGUAGGGCAGAGGGUGGUGGAAUUUCCUGUGUAGCGGUGAAAAGCGUAGAUAUAGGAAGGAACACCAGUGGCGAAGGCGACCACCUGGGCUCAUACUGACACUGAGGUGCGAAAGCGUGGGGAGCAAACAGG